CAUUACCCACUCAGGUAAUUUACAGGUUCCUGUAAAUUCCACCCAGAACUCUGCUGGCUGCAGUUUCCUCCAGCACAUUUGGUCUUCAGGGCCUGACUGUUAUUUAGGGGAGACCAUUUCUGACAUUUGUUUACUAGAAAGCUUCCUGUUGUACCAGAGUCAAACCAAGUCACUAACCUGCCCUUGCUGGACUCCACCUCGUGAUCCUCCCACCUCCCAAAGUGUUUGAAUUACAGGCCUGGGCUACCAGGACCAGCCGUCCAUCACAAUGUACCAGCAGCGUGAUUAUCCAAGGCUCAGGCUGAAGAGAAUCUGGCGGAUGCAUAGAAACUGGAAUACUUCCUUUUUUUUCUUCCUGGUAUUAGUGGCUUUGAGUAUGGGAAUAUUCUUCAUUGUGCAGAACCCCUCUGACCCCAUGGCCAUCAUCCUUGGAAUAAUGUUCAUAGUAGCCAGCUUGUGUUUAUUCAUCUAUAUGUGUUUGUUGGCGUGGGGUAGAGCUAUUAAGCUGUUGCUGAGAAGACUGCAAACGGGGCAGUGGGAAAGGAAUUUCUGACAGUGCAGAACAGGACUUUCCAGGACAGCCAGCUCCUCCCUGUAAUUCCAUGAAGCCUUCUAAGUAUUGUUUUUAAUAAUAAAAUAAAAUUUGCCUUUGAAAGUU
Cavia porcellus (domestic guinea pig) is the source of this 658-nucleotide long non-coding RNA. RefSeq lists it as uncharacterized. The record is from RefSeq and is a predicted model, not a curated record. NCBI's taxonomy places the organism in Eukaryota, Metazoa, Chordata, Mammalia, Rodentia, Caviidae. The transcript is spliced from 3 exons.